UGGUUAAAAGAUAGAACAGUCUAGCCAAGUGCCAUGUCUCUUAUUCUUGAUCAGCUAUAGCUCUAGGGUUUUUGCAGAUUUUCAAAUAAAACUCAGAGAUUCCUUGUAUGAUUCUCUCAGAUCUCUCUUUUGUGGUAUUUCUGGAUCCUUACCAAGGCAGUGAUGGUAUAUGCCUUCUCUCAAAAUAUGUAGUAUUUGUGGUAUGAGGCAUAGUGACAUUGCCUUCUCUCUCACCCUACUCUAAUAAGGCUUUAAUAUCUGGAGCUCAUAGGUGGGAGAUAAAGUAUACAUACUUACAAGACAUUUAUUGCAUAGUCAAACCAUAGAUCCAAAGAAACAAAUCAAUAAGCCAAAUCAAGAUGUGCAUGUGUGGCGAAUGAAUGGUGUAUGGUGAUGAUGGUAACAAUGGUGAAAACAAUGGUGGUGGAAGUCUAAUUCUACUUUGCUCUUUGAGGGGAUACAUACCUUCCUUGCUUUUGAAACUUUAUGAGGAGAAUGAGAUGCUCUUCUUUUUCUUGUCUCUCAGGUGGGUAUCUUGUACCCCUAAUUCUACUGUCGGACACCUGUCCAUUUUUACCUCUCGUCUCACUUUUUCUUUUCUUUCGAGGUUCCGAGCACUUGCUCCUUUUUAUUUCCUCGUAUUUCUCUUCCUUUUUUUCUCUUUUUUUCUUUCAGAGCAUUCAUCAAUUGAGAUAAUAUAGCAAGUGGUAGUAAUAAGAUAACUUGAGCAUUUAUUUCACAAGGGGAAACAGAAAUAUUUUUGGUUAUUCUCUCCCGGAUUAGGAGUAGAAUAUUUUUGGGUGAUUCUGGAGAUGGAAUGGGUGAAUAUAUGUGGAUGGUACUUCCGGAGUAGAAGUAGCAUAUAUGAGUGAACGUGCAAGUGAAAUCUUGAUUUAACCACAUGACAAGCUCCUAAGGGUCUACACAGCUUGACCACACUCAAUGCUCAUAAGGAGUAAAUAAUAAAUGUGUGGCUCAUAAUCUAGCAAGCAUGUAUAUAUGGCUGUGGUAGGAAUUUAAACUCUCAUCAUACAGGAACUCAUCAUGCAACAUUUUAAAGAUUUUCAAAGAUAAAAUUCUCCAGAAUUCUAGCAUCUCUAGGAACAGAUAAACAGCAGCUCAACCUUCCCAUAUCAUAUCCGUUAACAACUUAGACUUCAGAUCAAGUUUUUAUCCCACAAGUUUAGGUCUAGAGCAAGCUUUAAAUUAUAACAGUUAUGUCUAAACUUGAGAGAGAACUUAAAAUUUGCAAAUUAGGCAGAGCAACUAUUUAUCAUAUCCAUGCUUAAGUUUUAUUUUAGAUACAGAUUAGCAUAGCCACUUUAUUUAUUUAUUAAACACACUAAGCAAAAUAUAUAUAAGCAUAAAAUCUUUAUUUGGUUUUCCAUAGUUAUGUGUAUUUAUAUUCUAAUAUAGUAUAAGUAUAAAGAUAGAUAGAAAUACUUAUCGAGAUAAAUGGGGGUGCUCUCCCCCAAGCUGAAUUUUGACGUAAUUUCCCUUGAUGUAGCUAGCAGGUGGCAGAGGUGUAUUUGAAAGUCAGCAGCAUUCUGACAGCGAUUAGAAUGUCCUCCGUCUGCUAGUCUUCUUGAUUCUUAAAUUCUGUGGAGCUCAAAUAGACAACAAAGCUUGUGGAACUGAUUAAGUGUUAGCAUAAAUAUCUAGCCUUUAUAAUGUUGAGACUCCUUAAUAAAUAUUACUCCCUGUUUUUAUAUUUUUGUUUUUAUAAAGGAAAAAAAUAUUUAUUUUAUUUUUAUGCCACCACAGUGAAUGUACUUAUAGGUUUUAUGCCACUCGUCUACUCACAUGGGGCUUACUGUUUUUCACAUUUUUAUUUUCUUUUUAAGAUAGUAUGAACAUGAUUAACUAAGUAAACUAUUUGAAAUAAUUGAAAGAAAAAGGAUAACUACCAAGUUUACCUCUUGGCAAGGCGUUCGGUGUUUUUAAGUCCUUCGAACGGGACCCUCCAUUUUCUUAAUCGUCCUGAGGUUCGUUGGGUGGCGUAGUCGGUACUUCCAGCAGCGCCCCCUCUUCAUUUAUAGUUAUCUUCAUUUUCCACACCUGACUUGGUGCUUCGAUCUCCUCUGGAUAAUUCUGUUUAAACUCAACGUCUUCUGAUCUUACAACUUCUCCUUCAUAGUCUGCCCAUCCGUCCUUGAUGAUCUGCCUCCUCUGGUUGCGGUUGCGUCUCUUUCUUACCUGCUUAGAUUCUUCAAUGAUAUAGUUAGGGUCAGUAAAAUAACGGCGUACCUUCUCUGAGGGGAAGUGCAUAUGGACUUCUCCAGUUCCAAUGUAGAUAAUUGCUUUAACGGUGCUGAGGAACGGUCUUCCAAGGAUGAUGGGUGGAUCAUACUCGUCUUCUCCCAUAUCAACAACUUGAAAGUCUGUGUAGACAAAGUGAUCGUCUAUUUUGACUGGGACAUCAGAUACUAUUCCUUUAACUUCUCGAAAUGUCUGAUCUGCCAUAUGGAGUUGAAUGUAUGUUGGUCUUAGGGGCAUGGUUCCGAACAAGAGCCGAUAGGUGACUGCGGCCAUUAUGUUGACGCCCGAUCCGGUGUCGCAAAACGUUUUGUAGAAGUUGUAUCCAUUUAUUGAGCAGUAAAUGCUUGGCAUUCCUGGGUCGUCCUUCUUGGUCAAAACGGUGACUUAAGGUGGUGAUCUUGGCUUCCAUGAACUACAGUGACCAUCUUAGCUGACUCGGUCCACACUUGCUUGUUCCUGUUUCUCCUGUUGGUCCUCUUCCUUGAUUUACGUCUGGAUUGAUCUUGAAUUUGUGUAGUCUUGUUCUUGAAGAAAAAUGUCUCCUUCUUCCCUUUGACGUAGAAACUGAUCUUGGCAGCACUAGCGUAGAUGAUAGCUCCCGUGGUGUUCAAGAAUGGCCUCCCUAAGAUAAUAGGUGCUCUCUCAUCAUUUCCGGUCUCUACCACUACGAAGUCUGCUGGGGCAUAUAAGGUACCAACUCGGACACAAAGGUUCUUCACUAUUCCUUUUGGAAAAGUUAUCGUCUGAUCUGCAAACUGCAAACACAUGGUUGUUUCUAAUAAAGGAUAUGUAAAGAAUUUUUCAUAGAGUACCCUGGGUAUAAUGUUGACACUGGAGCCAAAGUCACAGAGUGCUUCUGGAACGUCCACCAUGCCAAUGGAGAUCGGGAUGACGGGGCGUCCUGGAUCGUCUCUCUUGACCGGCAGAAGGUCAGUAGAGAAUUCAUUGACGGGGUUACUCCAAUUACCUGCAUCAAACAUGUCUACAAGAUUUGCACAUUCUAAUCCUUCCGGUUGUGAUGGUAUACCGGGGUUAGUAGUAGGAACAGCAGCAGCUAUUUGAUUUAACUGAGAUUCAAUCAUUUUAUUAAAGCUAAUUUGAUUCUUGAUGGCAGUAGAAAAAUUAUCCAUUCUAUUAUUUAUAUUUUCUAGCAUUUUAUCAUUAGAUGCCAAUUUCUUAGAUAGAUUAUCCAUUAGCUUUCCUUGAUUAGACACUAACUCUCUCAAAGGUGGAAAAUUAUUAUUGUUGUUGUAAGAAUUGUUACCUUGAUAAUUACUUGAGUAGUUAGGUCUCUGUUGAUUCCAACCUUGAUUUUGUUGAGGACGGUUGUAGUAGUAGUAGUAGUUGUUGUUGAUGUAGUUCACAUCCUCAAGCAUCUCAGGGCAGUGGUUGCCUGAGUGUCCAGUGUCUCCACACUCCUCACAAGUCAUGUGAGAGUCGUAGAUGUGCAUAACUUCUUUCUUGUCUCCAGCUCUAUCGUCGAGCUUCUUCAUGAGUAGGUCUAGCUUUGCAGACAGCAUGUCUACCUCCUUCAGCUGAUGCAUACCUCCACCUCUCUUGCGUGUCUGGGUCCUCUCUUCAUUCCAGCUUUGGUUGGACGCCAUCUUCUCCACAAGAGCUGUGGCUUGUGGUAUAGUAAGUGAUAAGAAUGCUCCUCCAGCUGCAGCAUCCAUGGUCUCUCGGGCACUGUUACCAUCGAUCUCUGCAGCAGGUCCAGUGCGGAUGUUGUCCGUAGUGGGAGCUGAGAACUCGCGGAUCGAUUUGUUCGCCAUGGCCUCGAACUCUGAAGACAAGUUCCGAUGAUCUUCUUGAUUGGAUGAAGCUUCUUCGUGAAGUGUUGAUGAUCUCUUCUUGAGCUUGGCCCUCGUCUUCUUGAAUAAUGCUUCGGGAUUGUCAACAAAAUUUUCUAGAAGAUGUCUUCUAUUCAUACAUUCCCCUGCAUAAGAUAAAAUAGAAAAAUAUCGGGGUAAAACAGUAUGAGAGAAUAGAUAAGCUCAAUCAUAUUAGUGAUGCGAAUGAUAACUCAAAAUCUUUUAUUCUAUUCCUGAUUAGUAAUCAACCUUCCCCGGCAACGGCGCCAAAAAUGCUUGUUGGGUAUUCUUAACAUCAUUACCAAAAGUAGACUAAGUUCUCUAAAUCUAGUAACGGUGCCAAAAAUGCCAAACCUAUCCCUCAUACCACUUAAGCCAAGUUGUCAUCCCCAGCAUGAUAUAAGAGACGCGGUAUUGAAAUAUGCAAUUGCUCUUCUAAAUAAAUAAUGAAUGGGAUCUGCAAGCGCACAGAUUAAUACCGAUGCAGCAUUUUAACCGGGAAGUAUUUCAGGUAUCGUUAUUUAUAUUUUUACCACUGGGAAGGGAUUAGCAAUCAUCACUAUUGAUUACAGAAUAGAAUAUGAGAUUGAGCAUCUAUCAUUGCAUGUAUAUUUGAGAACAUUUAUCUAACUCUUCAUACAGGGAUAAGUGUCACAUAAAAGAUAUAUGAAAUAAUAAUAGUGACAAGGAUAACUAAUCUGAUCUAGCCACAUAAUAAAUAUGAUAAGCACCUCAAUUAGAUACUCUAGAAAGUCAUUAGCAUGGUAUUAGAACGAACUACAAGAAUAUUCCCUAAGUUAUUCUCAACUAUAUAGUUUAGCAUUAUCAUAGUUAGUGCAAGCAUACUUAGCAAUCAUUGUGAGACAAGACUACGCCCAUGCAUAGUGAUAUUAGCAAGGUAAAUGAGAAACAUAGCAAUCACUCCCCUGUAAUAAUAUUGCUCUGUCAGCCCAAUACACGAGAGGGGGACUAUAUAAGAAUCAAUGAAGCUGUCACUAUCACGAACCACCCCACGAUCUGGCAUAUUGGGUACAAUCGCAGAUAAAUACGGUAUAAGCACCACGCCUACACAAUAUCUAUCAUUUACCCAUGGAUCCGAUGGAUAAACGCUAUACGAUCCUAAGCAUGUAUAUAGAUCCAAUCUAACUAAGCCAAGUACAUAACUAUGAUAAACUAAGAACAAUAUAAUCUUGAAUAUAAACAAGUAGAGCAAAGUCAUAAGCAAUAUAUUGAAGUAGAACAAAGUCAUAUUCAUAAUAUUGAAGAACAAAGAUAAUUAGAAAGCAAUUAGAAGCACAAUUAGAGAAUUACCAAGAAUCCUCUUGACAGAUCCGGAAACCAAUCGAAGAUUGACUCCUUCUAGUUCUAAUCCUAUGUAGCUAUGCUAAUCUAGAUAUCCAAUUGACGUGGUGGCUCUAAUCUUGAUCAGAGGUUUCUUCUCCCUUGAUGGAACAAUGAAUUAGGGUUGAGAGGCUCUCUCCUCCAGGGGCUAGGGGGUCUGGUUUUAUAGUCCCUCCAAGUGAAUAUGGGCCAUUGGAUCAAACCGACAUAGAUUGUAUGGUUUAGAUUCCUCCUUUAGGUCGGUGGAGAUCUCCCGCAAAGUAGAGUCCUGAUUGGACUCAGGGGCAGGGCGGGCGCCCUGACCAACUGGGCGGGCGCCCAGGGUCAAGCCCCGUUUCGCCUCCGCUUCGGUCUCGUGGCUUCUGGAGUCUUCUAGAUGUAGGAUAAUUGUGCAGCACGUUAAUAUCUUUACGUAAUCCCAACGUGUGGGCCUUUCUUCCAUAUUUCCUGAUAACCCCCUGCAGAAAUAGACAAACACCAAAACUCGUGGAAUUCUGUCAGAUAAAACCCUAAGUCUAGAUCUUGAUUUCAUUUGGAUCCUUUUCUUUAUUUAUUUGAUAAUUAAAUUUGAUACUUAAGGACCGUCAACAGUGCCCUAGAAGAUCCGCGUACGCACUUAACGAAGUGCUCACGGAGGAGGCAUAAGUGACGGCUGUGCUCUUAAGCCCAAAAGGGAGCUCGGAAGGCACCGCUGUCUUUCCUCCAUCCGUGGGUGGAGGGUGAUGAGAAUUCGAGGCCCCCUGGUCCCUCUUCUGAGGAGGGGGCGGGAGUCGUGCUUUGCCCUUUGACCGGGGCGGAACAGGGGGUCGUAAAGAUCCCCUGUUGGUCCGUGGAGUGGAGCUCGAUGCUCCGCGGACCCUUCCUCUAGCACCUGUCGGGCCAGAGGAGUGGGCGAUCUGGUGAGGAAUAUGCGGGGGGAGGGCCGGAUGAACCCUUGCCUCAGUGGUAGGCUCAGAGAUGCUAGACCUCUGACGCCCCGGCCGGGCACCCCCUGCAUGGUGCCCCGAGCGCCUCCCGCGCACUGACUGUGGCGGGAUCGGCUCGGGGUGAGGCUCGGCGUCGCCACAUGGUGGGAGGAGGACCAUGUCGUAGCCGGAGCCAAGUGACAUGAACUCCAGACUCCCAAACAUCAUGAUGGUGCCGAGGCAAAGUGGGUGGAAUCCAUCAGCCAUCCGGGCUUUCCCCAAUAGGGAAAGGUGAAUGGAACGCAAAAGGCCCCUACCUGGCGCGCCAACUGUCGGUGUCUAGACUCGUCGUGUAGACACAAAUGAGUAUAAGUAUGCGUGUCACCCUAACCCAGAUGGUGGUGCAAGUGGAACACAAAGAGUUUAUACUGGUUCGGGCUAAGGAUGCCCUACGUCCAGUGUGAGAUCGGGGGGUCUGUAUUGCCUUGCACCCAGAGGUGCUUGUAGUAGGGGUGUACAAGCAGGUUGCGAGAGAGGGCUAAGUCCCAAGUCUCGACUUGUGCGUGGUGGACAGAGUGCUGCUUGCUACUCUAUGAGUGAACUCGCUUCGAGUUGUGGAGUGUUGAUUGCUCUGAGCGGUGUGUUGUUUUCCGUGUCUUGGAUGUGAGCUUUGGCUCCCCUUUUAUAGUCUCAAGGGGGGCGCAGGAUUUUACAUGUAUGAUUGUUGAUCUUCCUCCGGUGAGUGGUGAAACUACAUUCCCGACCCUGUAGAGGCUUGCCCACCCCAUCCUUGUGGCAUGGCUGAGAGUAUGGUUACUCCUGUGGAGGGUCGCCGAGCCCUGUUGAAGUCGUGGGGGUUGGAUCGGUGAUACUGUAGCUUGUCCUGUAACAGUGGGAGAAGACAACUAAUAGUGACACUGGUUAAUCUCUCCCAUUCCUCUUUUACUAUGAGGUGGUACACCACAGGGAAAGAGGUAAGGUGGCAUAGUAAAAGAGGUAAGGCUACAGUGGCCGGGGUGGUUGGAAUAGUCGCCACCAUGCCCUGCUGCGGUAUGGAAGUCGUUGCGUCUGUCACGUCGCGGGUACGGGCGCUGCAUGUGGGAAGCCUUGUUCUGAGACGGGGGCUCAGGCGAGGCGGUGUUGACGCCCGACCCCCAGAGGGGCCGAGCGAGGCGGAACUUGCACCCGAGGCCAAGGGGUCGGGCGAGCCGGGGCUAGCGCCCGACGCCAAGGGGUCAGGCGAGCCGGAGCCCGCGCCCGCGCCCGAGCCCUAGUUAUCGUGGCUGGUCUGCUUUGUCUUUCGCGUUUUUUAUUAUUCUGAUUUAGGUAUCCCUUUUUAUGGUACCCAACACCAUGAGUAUAAAAAAAGAAGCUAUUCCUUCCAAAUCAAUCAAAUUUCAAAGAACAAGUCUUGCUACAGAAAGCAUGAGAAGUGUAAGAAAAUAGGAUUGAUUAUAAAUUUAUCUCACGAUUACCACAUUAUUUAUGGAGAUCAACCCCCUACAAGCAAUAGAGGAGCGCUGCCUGCCUACCUAGAAUCAGCUAAGCUGACUUUGAAGUCAGCUAAGCUGAUUCCUACCUACUUUAAGUCGGCUAGGCCGACUCCCCAGUUGGCCAAGCUGACUACCCGUGCUAGUGCCCAAGUCGGAUAAUUCGGCAUCUGUUGUUGAUCAUGUUCUGGAGAUAAAGAGUAGUAUCAUGCAAAUCAAGAACAUACACUUCUCCAACAUGAUAAAAAAGUACAAGAUACAAAUAUUUUUCUCAAAUUCCAAUUCGGUCACACUAUAUCAAUUUCAACAUCUAUUAGAGAUAUCCUUGCUAAUUAUUGUAAUAGACCUAUUCAGAAUAGCAAUUUCUUUGUUGAUAAUAAAGUAAAUUUAGAUUGUAUCGGCUAGCACAUUGUUCCAUAUGGCAAGGCCGAUAGUGGUAGUUUGUCAAAGGUAAAGCUUCUCAGAAGCAAUCGCAAAAGUGUGGCAGAAUGGAUCGAUGCCAAAUCUGAUCCACCCGUUUACCUAGCUUUAAAGCCAACUCCACAAAAGAAUCAGCUAAGUAAGUCAAAGUAUACCUUUGACUUUAAUUUUUGUGAUCAUGUCUUCAAUCUCUUGCUCAAGAAUGAUUUUAUUAGAAUCAUUGAUCAUAAUGCUUUGCCAUCUAUUCAAAACUUAGAAGAGCUUACAUGUUGCAAUUGGCACAAUUCUUUUGAUCAUAAUACUUCUAAUUGCAAUGUGUUUCAUCAAGUGAUCCAAUCAGCCAUUGAUAAUGGACAAUUGAGAUUUUCUAAAGCUCAACAAAUGGACCAAUUGGAUUCAAUUAGUCUUGAUGGCAAACUGGUUUCGAAUUGGCUUGCAUUAGCUGAUUCACUCAAAGAUCAAGGCUCCAAUGCUCAAGAGAGAGAUGUUGAGCCCUUAAGUGAAGACAGAGUUGUUGUCCAAGAAUUACAAUUUAAAGAUAUUCUAGAGGAUAGCAAAGUGAUCAUAAUCCCAGAAAAAAUUGGGAGGCAGGUGAAAUCUCUCUAACUAGAGCAAAGGUCGAUUGAUCCUGUUGAGCAAGAAGAAUCAGCCAAGAAUUCUCCUUUAAAGCAUGUCUAUCAAGAUGGAGAUAAGUGUUGAUAUUGGUUACGCAGAUGAAAGAAUCAAAGAGAAAUAAACCGCAAGCGCACGGAUAUCGGUGAGCAGUUCACCUAGGAGAUAGUUCUAGAGUAUUGUAUUUCUUUUAUCCGCUAGGAGAAAGCGUGCGAUGACUAACCAAGUCUUUACUAUUAUCCCUGAGCCACACUUCAAGGUAGCAAAGAUAUAAGUGAUUAGAGAAGACUACUACGACAAUUUGGUUCCAACCUAUGGUAAGUUAUGAGACUACUGCUCCAUGGGAACGUAUCGUUGGGGAAGAGACACCACAUAGGUGUUGACACUUACUAACACCACUUGGAUACUAGGUUGUCAUCCCCAGCAUGAUGCCAGAGUGUACAAAGGUAUUUAUGAAUGUAAAGGCUCUCUAGAAAAUAAUCUAUUCUAUCCGCAAGCGCACAGAUAAAAUUCCUCAUUGUAGCAUUUCACCAGGAAAAGUAUUCCGGGUAUCGUUAUUAAUAUUUUGCUUAAGAGAACGGUGGAGGUAAAUAAAAUCUAUCAAGGCAUAGACUAGAGAUAAUCUUGCAAGAACAUGAUUACUAAUGAGAAACUCGUCACACAGUCACUUGCUUUGGCAGGGGGUAAGCCAUAAUAAUAAUGAUAAUGAAAUAUAAGCUCAUGGGUAAAUAACACAGCGAUUAGAAAAUAGACUACUCCUCAUAUAUGUAAGUUGACGUCGGAUUAGCUAGAGAAUGGAUUCUGAGUUAUCUACUACCUACUAAGUCACAAUCUACUCUAGUUAUCUACAAGAUCAUAUAUAGCAUAAAAGACUCUUCAUUCAUGUAUAAGGAACAUUGCUAAAGUAAAUCAGAACAUCGCAAGACUUACUCCGCAAUACAAAUUAUGCCUGUCCUAUCAACGGAGGGUGGACUAUAUAAGAAUCAACGAAGCUGUCACCAUCGCGAACUACCACAUGAUCUGGCCAAUAGGAUACAUUUGUAGGUAAAUAACAUCUAAGCACCACGCCUACAUGUGAUCUACCACUUAACUCCCACGUGUCAAGAACUAAGCGCUUUGCAAACUUAUACAUAAACUUAUUAUCAAUCAUAACUAUAUCAAAUAUAGAACUAGAGCAAACUAAGAACAUAAUAAAUAGAGACAUAAUGAAAUUAGAAUAAAGUAGUAGAGAAAGAUAUGAAAUAAUACCAAUCUUUAUUGAUGAAGAUCCGAAUCCAGAGCGCUAGGCUCUACUUCUCUAAUUCUAUCUAAUCAAUCCUAUAGAACUUGAAGGAACUAGGAGUAGCUAAUUCUAAUUCUCUGUGGGAGAGAAAUUCUUAAACCCUAACUUUGAUGGCUUCCUCUGAUAAUGAUUUCUCCUCUCCCCCUGGGGUGGAGAGGCCUUGCUUAUAUAGUCCCUUCAAGUGAAUUUGGGCCGUCGGAUCAAACCGACAUUGAUUGCCCGGUUUUCCUUGAUCCUUUAGGUCGGUGGAGAAUAAUCCGCGAGGUUGGUUGUGAUUGGCCCCGAGGCCAGGGCGGGCGCCCAAGGGGGGAGGGCAGGCGCCCUGCCGCCGGGCCUAUUCGGCUUCCCGUGGCUUCUGGACUCUUCUAGAUUAAGGAAAAUUACGCGGCACAUAAUUAUCUCGUUGUAAACAUGACAUAUGGGCCUUCUCUCCAUAUUUUCUGAUAACCCCCUGUAGAAAUAGACAAACACCAAAACUCGUGGAAUUCUGUCAGAUAAAACCCUAAUUCUGGUUGUCGGUUGCAUUUGGAUCCUUUUCUUUGUUUAUUUGUUGAUUAUAUUUGAUACUUAAGGACCGUCAACAAACUCCCCAAGCUUACCUCUUGCUCGUCCCUGAGCAAGGAUAAUCCUAGUGAUGGAUCAGAAGUUAUUGUCAUGCCUUUGAGCGUUGACAGUACACAUGCUUUUAAAUAAGGUCUCAUCUCUGAGUCAGAGUAAACUGUCAAUACUUAAAACUUACUCAUUUUACCUUUCACCAUGGGACUUGUAAUCGUCACUUCUGUCUUGAGCAGUUAAAAGAUAGAACAGUCUAGUCAAGCGUCAUGUCUCUUAUUCUUGAUCAGCUAUAGCUCUGGAUUUUUUGCAGAUUUUCAAAUAAAACUCAGAGAUUCCUUGUAUGACUCUCUCAGAUCUCUCUUUGGUGGUAUUUUUGGAUCCUUACCAAGGCAGUGAUGGUAUAUGCCUUCUCUCAAAAUCUAUGGUAUUUGUGGUAUAAGGUAUAGUGACAUAGCCUUCUCUCUCAUCCUACUCUAAUAAAGCUUUUGAUAUCUAGAGCUCAUAGGUGGGAGAUAAAGUAUACAUACUUACAAGAUAUUUAUUGCAUAGUCAAACCAUGGAUCCAGAGAAACAAGUCAAUAAGUCAAAUCAAGAUGUGCAUGUGUGGUGAAUGAAUGGUGUAUGGUGAUGAUGGUGAUAACAAUGGCGAAAGUCUAAUUCUACUUGUGCUCUUUUGAGGGGAUACAUACCUUUCUUGCUCUUUUGAGACUUUUUGAGGAGAAUGAGAUGCUCUAUAUUUUCUUUUUCUUUCCUCUAAGGUGGGUAUCUUGUACCCCUAAUUCUACUAUCGGACACUUAUCCAUUUUUACGUCUCGUCUUACUUUUUCUUUUCUUUCGAGGUUCCGGGCACUUGCCCCUUUUUAUUUCCUCGUAACCUUUCUCUCUUCUUUUUUUAGAGCACUCAUCUCCUGAAAUAAUAUAGCAAGCGGUAGUAACCAAGAUAUCUCGAGCAUUUAUUUGACAGGGGAAAACAAAAAUGUUUUUGGCUAUUCUCUCCCGGAUUAGGAGUAGAAUACUUUUGGGUGGCUUUGGAGAUGGUAAUGAGUGGGUAUAUGUGGAUGCGUACUUCCGGAGUAGAAGCAGCAUGUGUGAGUGAACGUGCAAGUGAAUCUUGAUUUAACCACAUGACAAGCUCCUAAGGGUCUAUACAGUUUGACCACACUCAAUGCUCAUAAGCAGUAAAAAGUAAAUGUGUGGCUCAAAGUCUAGCAAGCAUGUAUAUAUGGCUGUGGUAGGAAUUUAAACUAUCAUCAUACAGGAACUCAUCAUGUGAUAUUUUAAAGAUUUUCAAAGAUAAAAUUCUCCAGAAUUCUAGCAUCUCUAGGAACAGAUAAACAGCAGCUCAUCCUUCUCAUAUCAUAUCCGUUAACAACUUAGACUUCAGAUCAUGUUCUCUUCCCACAAGUUUAGGUUUAGAGCAAGCUUUAAAUUAUAACAGUUAUGUCUAAACUAGAGAGAGAACUCAAAUUUGAAAAUUAGGCAGAGCAACUAUUCAUCAUAUCCAUGCUAGAGUUUUAUUAUUAAGAUUCAGUUUAGCAUAGCCACUUUAUUUAUUUAUUAAGCACACUAAGCAAAAGACAAAUAUAUAUAUAUAUAUAAGCACUAAAUCUUUAUUUGGUUUUUCAUGGUUAUGUAUAUUUAUAUUUUAGUAUGGUAUAAGUAUAAAUGUAGAUAGAAAUACUUAGCGGGAUAAAUGGGGGUGCUCUCCCCCAAGCUGGAUUUUGACGUAAUUUCUUCUGAUGUAGCUAGCAGGUGGUGGAGGUGUAUUUGAAAGUCGGCAGCACCCUCACAGCGAUUAGAAUGUCCUCCGUCUGCUAGUCUUCUUGAUCCUUGAACUCUAUGGAGCUCAAAUAAACAACAAAGCUUUGUGAAACUGAUUAGGUGUUAGCAUAAAUACCUAGCCUUUAUCGUGUUGAGCCUCCUCAAUAAAUAUUACUCUCUUUCUCUCUCUCUAUAUAUAUAUAUUACAUUUUCAUUUUAUAGAGCAGAAAAAAUUAUUUAUUUUAUUUUUAUGUCAUCACAGUGAAUGUACUUAUGGGUUUUAUGCCACUUGUAUACUCACAUGGGGCUUACUAGUUUUUUAACAUUUUUAUUUUCUUUUUAGGAUAGUAUGAACAUGAUUAACUAAGCAAACUAUUUGAAAUAAUUGAAAGGAAAAGGAUAACUACCAAGUUUACCUCUUGGUAAGGCGUUCGGUGUUUUUAAGUCCUCCAAACGGGACUCUCCGUUUUCUCAGUUGUCCUGGGAUUUGUUGGAUGGCGUAAUCGGUGCUUCCGGCGGCGCCUCUUCUUCGUGUCUAACUAUCUUCUCUCUCGACACCUGACUCGGUGCUACGGUCUCCUUAGGACAAUUCUGUUCAAGCUGUAUGUCUUCAGACCUUUCCACUUCUCCUUCGUAGUCUUCCCAUCCGUCUUGAUGAUUUGCCUCCUCUGGUUGCGGUUGUGUCGUCUUCUUCGUGUCCUGACCUGCUUAGAGUCUUCAACUAUAUAGUUAGGGUCAGUAAAAUAGCAGCGUACCUUCUCAGAGGUGAAGUGCAUGUGGACUUCUCCGGUUCCAAUAUAGAUGAUUGCUUUACGGUGCUGAGGAACGGUCUCCCAAGGAUGAUGGGUAGAUCAUACUCAUCUUCUCCCAUGUCAAUAACCUUCAAGCCUCUUGGUAGUAGUCGUUGUCAAAGCAUAAGAGGUGUUGGAGUACCGUCCUGCAUUGAAUUGGGGCUGGGGCCUAGACCUUGAGGCUCCAUAUGGAUCAGUGGAAUACCUGCCCAUACUAGAAGGUGGGUUUGUCCACUGGUGAUCUUGGCACUCUGGACAUGUCUCCUGUGUCGGCUCCUGCGGCUGAGCAUGUCGAACCCACGGGUCCCGAGGGACUCGGGGGGUUGUAGUCGCGGUAAUGCAGGUACGUUGCUUCUUCCGGCCCAGGAUCAGCUCCAUACCAGGUUCGUUCUUGAUGGGUGGUCAUCCUUUUAGAUGCCACUCGCUGUGGAGCUCUCUGGUUUACCGGUGUCACUGUUUCUUGUAGCAGGAUAGGAUCAAGAAUGGGGGUGUGAAUGAAAUCCUUAUUCUUCAGCUGCUGGAAAACUUCCUUCUCCCUGCGGGUCUUCAGUCCAAGGUCUCCUGUCUUGAGGAGGACCUUGACUCGUGGAUCAGAUGAAGAUGACAGAGCUUGCGUGGGCGUCGGGUCGAUGCUUAUCUCUGACUGGUGCGAGGAGUGUCGGGACAAACUCCUCGUACCUAUGUUCUUAAGGGUCUUGCCCGCGUUCUUUACCUUCUUGAACAUCCUGUAGACAAAAGUUGACACAAACACAACUAGUGGAAAAUGUGAAAGAAAAAUGUUAGUGGUGAGCUGUCCGAAAUGUUAGUAGUCCAGGGGUUAGUCGUCAAGACAAGUUUUUAUUUUGGCAGCGCCUCCCCCUAAACAACCUUCUGCUCUGGACAGCGGGAUUACCACUUACUAAUGAACCUUGCUCUCUUACUCCAGGGUUACCAAACUCUCUUUCACUCUUCUCUUCCCCUCUACUCUCCUUCUCACUUCACUACAAGAGAUCCUUCUCUGGAAACUGAAACUUGCGUGGUUUUCUGGAAUGCAUGUGUGAAGAAGUUGGAGGCAGGAGGUGGCUUUUUAUAGGCUGAAGGAAGGAUAGGGCAGGCGCCCUCUGUAGGUGGGUGGGCACCCACCUUUGGUGGCCAUCCUGGCCGGCCUUUCUCCACUCCCUCCAUUGCUUAGCUCUUACGCAGAAUAAUGUUGAGUGGGUGGUGGUUGGUUGGUGGAAAAAUGCUGGUGAGUGGAAACAUGUUGGUGGAUCACAAGAUGUGGUGUAUGACAUAUGGGUGUGUGGGUCAUGCUUCUAGAAGGUUACUAUAAUAUAAUGUAGGAAAAUCUAUGAGAAUUGAAACUUACGAUAAUGGAAAAUAUUUUUGUGCCUCCACAAUAAUUAAUAAAUAUGGGUUGUCAUACACCAUAAAUAUUAUUUUUAUGGGGCUUUUGAUUAUUAUAAUAAUGCUAUGAAUAAAUAUGGAUAAUGCAGGAAUUAAAUGAGAGAAUUAAUGAUGCAGAUAAAUACCGAUUUACCUCCCUGCGAGGGUUUGGGAUUUUUAGGUCCCCCAAGCUGGACCUCCAAAUCUUUUAAUCUUCUGAAUUACCUUCCUCUAGAGAUGGUGUCUCCAGUGGUUCUUCUUUACUGGGGGUUCUCUGGUGGAUCUCCCUCUUUUUGUAGUUAUAUUGCUCUUGUAGAAAUAUCUUUAUUAAUGUAGGUUGCUUGAAAUUACCUGAUUUCAUACCUUGAUUAUUGAGAUGUUCGUAUGCUGCCUCAAUGGUCUUCUGAUCUUUUUCAAGUAUUCCUUCUGUUUGGUGAUGAUGUUGAACUUUAUCUUGGAACCAGCUUGGGUCUUCUGCUAUCUUGUCCAAAAGUAGUUCUGCUUCUCCAAGUGUAAGUUCAAAAAGUGACCCUCCAGUAAUUGCAUCUAGGCUCUCACGAGCCUUUUGGGUUAAUCUACAGUGGAAGGUUUGGAUAAGUAACCAUUUGGGCAAUCCAUGGAGAGGACAUUUUGAUAUGUAUCCUUUAAAACGCUUCCAUGCUUCUGGAAUGGUUUCUGUCUUCUGUUGUUGAAAGCCGAUGAUCUUUCUUCUUAAGGCAACUAAUUUGGUAAAUUUGCCUAUGGGGAAGAACUUUUCUAUAAAAGCCUUUGAACAGUUCGUCCAAGUAUUGAUAUCUUCUUUGUUGGUGUAGAACCACUUCUUUGCUCUUCCUUCAAGUGAGAAUGGAAAGAGACGAAACCGUAUGGUAUCUUGGUUGACUCCGUCGACUUUGAUUAUGCUUGUAAUCUCUAAGAAAUUCUGCAAGUGUAUCUUAGCAUCUUCAUGUGCCUUUCCACUGAAUUGUGUAACUUGUACCAAAUUGAUGAGGCUAGGCUUGGUUGGACGUUCAAGAUUUCCUUCUUUUGCUUCAUGUCCUAGACUAGUGCAAAUGUCUUCAAUGCUUAGUAGAAAAUUCUUGCAGAGUCUCUUGUGCCAUAACUUCAACGAUUGGUAGCUAGCUUCUUCUUUCUUUUUUGAUUGCUUUGGUUGUGAUGAUGAAGAGUUGAAUGUACCAAAGUCAAUCCUGAUAUACCCUAUAUAAAAAUAUAAACAUAGAAAAACAACAGGGUGAACCUGCCAAAGCAGAGGUGCCUUGUUAUGAUUUCUCACUUAGUAGCUGUUUUUAUGCAAUUAUUUCUCCAUAGUCUAGUCUAAUAUUUCAUGUGAAUAACCUUGACUGACUUCAUGACUUUCCUUACCGUUCCCCGACAACGGCGCUAGAAAUGCUUGUUGACACUUACUAACACCACUUGGAUACUACGUUGUCAUCCCCAGCAUGAUGUGAGAGUGUACAAAGGUAUUUAUGAAUGUAAAGGCUCUCUAGAAAAUAAUCUAUUCUAUCCGCAAGCCCACAGAUAAAAUACCUCAUUGUAGCAUUUCACCAGGAAAAGUAUUCCGGGUAUCGUUAUUUAUAUUUUGCUUAAGAGAACGAUGGAGGUAAAUAAAAUCUAUCAAGGCGUAGACUAGAGAUAAACUUGCAAGAACAUGAUUAAUAAUGAGAAACUCGUCACACAGUCACUUGCUUUGGCAGGGGGUAAGCCAUAAUAAUAAUGAUAAUGAAAUAUAAGCUCAUGGGUAAAUAACACAGCGAUUAGAAAAUAGACUACUCCUCAUAUAUGUAAGGUGACGUCGGAUUAGCUAGAGAAUGGAUUUUGAGUUAUCUACUACCUACUAAGUCACAAUCUACUCUAGUUAUCUACAAGAUCAUAUAUAGCAUAAAAGACUCUUCAUUCAUGUAUAAGGAACAUUGCUAAAGUAAAUCAGAACAUCGCAAGACUUACUCCGCAAUACAAAUUCUGCCUGUCCUAUCAACGGAGGGUGGACUAUAUAAGAAUCAACGAAGCUGUCACCAUCGCGAACUACCACACGACCCGGCCAAUAGGAUACAUUUGCAGGUAAAUAACAUCUAAGCACCACGCCUACAUGUGAUCUACCACUUAACUCCCACAUGUCAAGAGCUAAGCGCUUUGCAAACUUAUACAUAAACUCAUUAUCAAUCAUAAAUAUAUCAAAUAUAGAACUAGAGCAAACUAAGAACAUAAUAAAUAGAGACAUAAUGCAAUUAGAAUAAAGUAGUAGAGAAAGAUAUAAAAUAAUACCAAUCUUUAUUGAUGAAGAUCCGAAUCCAAAGCGCUAGGCUCUACUUCUCUAAUUCUAUCUAAUCAAUCCUAUAGAACUUGAAGGAACUAGGAGUAGCUAAUUCUAAUUCUCUAUGGGAGAGAAAUUCCUAAACCCUAACUUUGAUGGCUUCCUCUGAUAAUGAUUUCUCCUCUCUCCCUGGGGUGGAGAGGCCUUGCUUAUAUAGUCCCUUCAAGUGAAUUUGGGCCGUCGGAUCAAAUCGACAUUGAUCGCACGGUUUUCUUUGAUCCUUUAGGUCGGUGGAGCAUAAUCCGCGAGGUUGGUUGUGAUUGGCCCCGAGGCCAGGGCGGGCGCCCAAGGGGGGAGGGCAGGCGCCCUGCCCCCGAGCCCGUCCGGCUUCCCGUUCGUUCUCAUGGCUUCUGGACUCUUCUAGAUUAAGGAAAAUUACGCGGCAUGUAAUUAUCUCGUUGUAAACAUGACAUGUGGGCCUUCUCUCUAUAUUUUCUAAUAACCCCCUACAGAAAUAGACAAACACCAAAACUCGUGGAAUUCUGUCAGAUAAAACCCUAAGUCUGGUUGUCGGUUGCAUUUGGAUCCUUUUCUUUGUUUAUUUGUUGAUUAUAUUUGAUACUUAAGGACCGUCAACAAUAGGAUGCUUGACUAGGGCACUUAGGUCCUACCAAACCUUCUAAUAGGAGGAGGCCCCAAAGGUAACAAUGGGAUUGUCACGUCCCAUGCUACUACACAUCGAUCCGACCAGGCAGGGGAUAUCUACGAGUAUUCUAGCCCAAGCACCAUGCUUACGCUACGAAUGAUUACUCUAUUCCCUAUGCAAAGCAAAUAAAGUAAACUCAUAAAGCAAAGAACAAUAAUAAUAACAUAUUUACUUAGUAUUAGAACUUUAAUUGCCAAAAAUUCCUAGAACCAAGCCUUAGGUUAGGAGACUUAAUCCCACAGGUACAAGCCGGUGAGGAGACACCAACAUGUCAGAAUUCCUCCGAACUCUCCCUCCACUCUAACUCUCUUAAUCUAGAAGAAUAACUCUAAUCUCACAUAGAGACUACAAAGUUAAUCUCUCUUGUAUGUGCCCUAGGAGAAAGAUCCAUUCAAGGGACCCCUCUAAGGCAAAUUCUCUCUAAAAAUAUGUAUUAGGGUUUCUCCAUUCCUCUGAUACAAGGGCUAGGGGCCUUGCUUAUAUAGCUCUCUAGGAAGCAUGACAGCCCUGAGAUCAAACUAACCUUGAUCUAUGAUUAUUAUUGAUCCUUAAAGAUGGUGGAGGCUGGAUCUAGGAGCUUGCUUCUGAUUGGCUCUAGAGGUGAGGAGGCCGCCUAGGGCAGGGACUCCCGCGCUGUCACAGUGAUAGGUGGGUCCCACCUUCUAGGGGGUGGCUUCUUGAGUUUUCUAGAUUAUUCUUUUAUUGUAUGUGGUCUUUUCUCUCUAUGUAAACCUGACAUGUUGACCAUCUUAGGUUGUUUUCAGCUGACACCCUACAAAAAUAGAUAUUCACCAAAACUCAUGAAAUUCUGACUGUUAAACCCCUAGUAUAUGGCGAUAAUUAUUUUUAUAACAUUCUUUUGAUUAAGUUGAUGAUUUAAAAUUGAUAGUUAACUACAGUCAAUAAUAAGGAGGAUGCUCAUGAAGCUGAUGGAGGUAAAGGUCGUGACAAGCUGAAGAAUAGAAGGCUGAAGCUUAGCUUCAAAGAACUUCUAGCUAAAUAUAAGAAGAUAGCUAAAGCAAAUGUCACUAAUCGGUCCAAGAAAGUCCAAUCAUCAAAGUUGCCUCCAAAGGACAAUUAUCAAGAGUGGAGUUAGCAAGGAGAUAGAUCUCACACAACAACAACAUAUUCUCCUUUUAAGUGGCUAAUUCCCAAGUCAUAUGUACCACAAACAUCGGGAGUUCUCACCCAAGUCGAGAGUUCUCACACGAGUCAAGAGUUUUGACCCACGUCGAAAGUUUCAACAAAUGUCAGGAGUUCUGACCCGAGUCCAGAGUUCCAAUUCGACUUCCGACAGACCUAAUAAUUGUUUGGAUCUAACCUUUGGGAUUCUAAUCUGAACUAUCCAAACUCAUGGGAAACUUGGAAAAUAAGACUCAAAGAGGUUUCCUACUAGGAUAAGACCACCCCCUCUAUGUAUAUGAGAGGAUCAUGGCCGAUUAAGUUCCCAUCUAUCCAAUCAUCAAAACACAAACCAUCUACUUACCCCUUUACUUUCUUCUCCAAACUCCAUGCUAUUCAUCCCUUGAUCCGAUGACCAAGGAUGGUGCCCUAGGCUUGUCGGCCAACUUAAGGCAACCCAUCGAUGUCCUUGCCCUGAUAGGGUCCCUCCUGGAUGAGAGCUUCAGCGAUUUCAUUACUAGAUGGCCUGAAAACUAGCUGGUUAUUUGUCAUGCAAGUACUUUGGUUGUCCUUUAGUGGUUUGCUUAUAAACCUCUCCAUGCUUCACCAUGUAAGAGUGAUAUCUUCGCUGCAUUCUUCAGUCCAUAGCAGCCCAAGUGUCCAAUGCUCUUGCUGCUGUGUGAUUCAGACCAUAUCUGACGUCAACAAUUUCAUUGACAUUUUAUUAUAUUUUAGUUGAGGUGGCAUUCUUAGAAACAAUACUAUGAAGCUUCCCAUUGAGACUGAUCUAAGUAUAAAAGUUUUAUGUGCUAGAAGAUGAAUAAGACACAAAAGAAGGUGGGGUAAGUGUUUGGGCCAUGUUAUGGGCUACUGCCAUCUUCACGUUUUGGGCUAGUGGAAAACAUCCUAUGUUGGGCCAAGUAAUGUGAAUGGACCUGAGUGACAAGUAGGGCAAGAUGUGUAGAUGGCAUGUGUGUCAAGUAGGUAUAAAACUCUCUAGCGAUGUGUUGAUGAAGGCAUCGAACAAAACCUAUAACUAAAUCCCAACAAACUCGCCUAAAUUCCCCACAACUAUUAUUCUUGUUGUUCCUCAAUCCUUCCAUUCUCCAACCCUAGAUUCCAAUUUCUCAUAGCCCUUGUUCUCUAGUUAUCGGUUACAUUACAAUUUGUACUCGAAGCAAGGUUGCAGCAGAAUAGAUUUUCUUGCUGCAUUUCUCGGAGAUCUAGCACUAAAGGUAUCCAAAUUUUAGCAAAACAUGGUGAUGACGAUCAAAGGGGUGGAUUCCAAGGUGGAGAAAUUGAUGAAAUAGCUUGAGAGGUUCCAAUCGAUGAUGGAGGAGAUGUUAGACAAGUUGAGCAGGAUAAAGACAUGGCGUGAUGCCGACAACUCAUUCGGGACUGCUCCAAUGAACUUUGGUGACCUCCAUCAACUUAGGAUUGGAGGUGGUGUGGCUAGAGCAUUCGAAGGCAUGUCCACCACUCAUCACCAACACAGAUAGCACAACCCUGUGCUAGACUUGAACAUUGCUCUAGAGCCGAUGCGCCCAUCUAUGUCAAGUGGGGAGCAGCCCAGCGGGCAUUGUGAGUUGGGUGGGGGAACUAGGAGCCUCCUCUGUACCUACCCACCACCAAUCUUUUAGGGUAUGAUGCAUGAAUCUCCUCAGUCUUCUUGUCAUAUGCAUGAUGCUUCUGUGACUUAUUUGCCACGCUCUGCACCAUAUCCUAAAUUGUAGUUUCUCAAAUUUUUAGUGAAAAUCUAAGGUGGUGGCUUGAUUAGUGUGAAAUGUACUUUGAAGUCUAUGUUGUUCACCCUACGAUGAGGACCAGAUUUGCUAUCCUCAAUUUCAUCAAACCUGCAACUACCUGGAUGGAGAUGAUUGAGCGUUGUGGUCAUGUUACUGAUUGGGACAAACUUUGUGAGUUGAUCUUUGUCAAGUUUUUUAAAGAUCAGUUCCCUUGCUCUUGAAGCAUUUUGAUGCAUUGAAGUAGGAGGGUUUAGUUAUUAAUUAUCAACAUCGUUUCAAGGAGUUUGGCUCAUGGUAUUUUGCUAUUCAAUCCUAUGUAUGAUGAUACAUACAUGGUCACUCAAUUUCUUGGUGUAUUGAAGGAAGAGAUUCGAGCAGCUAUGACAAUGCAUCGACCCAAGGAUGUUGAUAUUGCUAGCACUUUCACAUAGUUGCAGGAAGAAGAGCUAGAGAACUCCAAGAAGAAAUACAGUCCAAAAGAGACAACCAGGCAAGCUUUUAGAUCAUACAAUGCUAGAGACAGAGCAAAGCCAGUGGAAUCUGAGAAAGUUAAGCCAAAAAUAAGGGAAUAUAAGCUAGGUUCUCUCAAGACCUAUUGAAGGCAGAAUGGGUUGUGCUUUAGAUGUGGUGAGAAAUGGGGUCUAGGACAUAAAUGUCCAACUUAGGUUCCCAUUCAUGUUGUGGAAGAGUUGUUGGAUGCUUUGGAAGUUUGUGAUGAUUCUGAAGAAGCUACUCUAUAGGAAACUGUGGAAACUGAGUGUGUUAUGGCUUUGGGUGACAAUGUUGUUCCAAACACAAGUAAAAGAAAUAAUUAGACUCAGUGGAUACAUUGGGAAUAUGCAAGUGUUGAUACAGGUGGACUCAAGAAGUGUGGGUUCUUUUAUUAGUUUUGCAAUAGCUAACAAACUCAAGACUUAGUUGAAAGGAUGGGAUCACCUAUGACAUGUUCUCAGGGUAUUUCAAAGAUGGCUUGGUGCACUAAGGGACACUUUUCAUACUGAUGUGGGAGUGUUACCUCAAAAAUGUUAUGACAUGAUAUUGGGGGAAGACUAGCUAGAGCAUUGUAGUCCCAUAUCGGUACAUUGGACCAAAAAGAUAAUUAUAUUUAUGCACAAUGGUACCAGCAUUACCUUGAGAGGUGUCAGACCUGAAAUCAACAAAUGUACUACAAUCAGUGUUGGCAAGCUACCUUGAUUAGGAGGAAGGCAAUCACACACUAUGUUUAGUUACUACCUUCAACCUUAGAAAGACCAUCUAUAUAAUCAUCACAUCAACUUGUAUGCUCUAUGAAUAAUAUGGAGGAGCUUCAGUCUGAUAUACCUGAGGAAAUGAGGAGUCUAUUAUCUCAAUAUGAGGAUAUUUUCAAGGAACCUGCUAAGUUACCACCCAAAAGGUCAUGUGAUCAUCAGAUCACCCUGGUUCUAGGAGCUCAACCUAUGAAUGUGAGGCCAUAUAGGUAUGAUCCUGUUUAGAAAUCAGAAAUAGAGAUAGAUUGCUAAAAUGCUGAAGAAUGGAAUCAUAAAGCUAAGCACUGGUCCAUAUGCUUCACUAGUUCUUUUACUAUGAAUACAUUGUUUGCUUCUUUACUAAGGAAGGGAAUAUUGAUAUUCAUGGAUGAUAUAUUGAUCUACUUUAAGACAUUAGAAGAACAUUAUGCCUUGCUAAAACAAGUGUUUGACAUUAUAAGAAACAACAAAUUCUUUGUGAAGCUCAGUAAAUGUUCUUUUAUCAAGAACUAAAUUGAGUACUUAGGGCAUGAUUAAUUGCCCCGACGGGACGGUGCAAAGGCCCAUCCAACUCCAUUUUAUGCACUUGGCGCGUGUUUGAUUGCUCAUGUCGCAUGGUUUGCCUGUGCCCUAUCGUUCAUUUCCCCUCCACCAUCCUAGCCUCUUCCAUCUUUCUGAUGCGACCUUCGCUCACAAGCCUGGAUGGUGUGGUGCUUGGCAGGAACCCUAGGCUUAUUUAGCAAGAGACGGCUCCAUCCCAUGAUAAAAGCACGCACGCGGGUUGGAGUUAGGGUUACCGCCCCCAUUACUCCACUCCUCUUGUGCGCCCUCCCUUCUUCCCUCUUGCUACCGGUUUCUCGCUGGUGUCUUCCACCUUUGGCAGACCCUUGUUGGUUCUUUGGUGCCUUAGCUAGUAUACAUCGCCUUACCCCUCUUUCUCUCCCUUUGUUUUGUACCAUGUUUUUGUUUUUGCCGUGCAAUUUUGGUUAGGGUUCAUGUUGGUACCCUCCUAGAUCUGUGCAUUUUUGAUGUAGAUCUAGCAGUUUCAUGAGUAGAUCUGGUGGUUUCAUUUGUAAAGCUAUGAAUCUUUAAUGCUAUUAUGCUAUCUACUUUAGAUGUUAUUGAUAAUGAUGCUUAUUUUGAUUACCAAACUAAGCUUAGUGCCUAGGUUGAUGAUUAUGUAGUACAUAUGCUAGAUUAGGUGCCGGAGGAGCACCUUUUGGUGUGGUAGCCACAUCUUCCUUUGUCAAAGUUUACUGAUUCUUUGCAAAUAUUUUUUAGUUCACAACAUUAUUCCCUUUCUAAUUAGACGAUACAUAUGUACUUCCUAUUCUUAGAAAUUGACUUCCAAGCUAGACAUUGAGCAGUGGCAUGUUGGUUUUUUCAUGUGGUUUAGGAGAAGAGUUGUAGAUGCCUGGUUAGUUACCUAUGGCCCCUUGACAGAGAGGGACCAAUGGAAGAUUAACAACCUUAACUACAUCUACAAUUUAGAUGAUGUUCAUUGUGUUAAUCUGCUUAGGACAAGAAGGUCACCUUUUUUCUAGUUGUGUGAUCUUUUUCGCACUACAACGCUGGUAACAGACAACAUACAUGCUACUAUUGAAGAACAAGUAGCAAUGUUUUUGUAUGUUGUUGGCCACAAUGAGAGGUUCAGAGUUGUAGACCUCACAAUCUAGAGAUUAGUUGAUACCAUCGGCAGGUUCUUUCAGAGAAUGUUGUAUGCAGUAGGGGAGUUGAUGAAUGAAUUGAUUGUUCCUCCUAGUACUAAUGUUCAUCCUAGGAUUCUUGGGAGCAGAAGCUGGUAACCCUACUUCAAGGUUGGUAUUCCCUUCAUUCCAUUGGUGGUCAUUGUUGACACUAGCUAACACCACUUAGAUACUAGGUUGUCAUCCCCAGCAUGGUGCCAGAGUGUACAAAGGUAUUUAUAAAUGUAAAGGGCUCUCUAGAAAAUAAUCUAUUCUAUCCGCAAGCGCACAGAUAAAACACCUCAUUGUAGCAUUUCACCAGGAUAAGUAUUCCAGGUAUCGUUAUUUAUAAUUUUGCUCAAGGGAUCUAAAGAAGAUGAAAUUAAAUCAAGGGGCAAAAUCUAUCAAGGCAUAGACUAGAGAUAAACUUGCAAGAACAUGAUUACUAAUGAGAAACUCGUCACACAGUCACUUACUUUUAGCAGGGGGUAAACCAUAAAGAUAAUGAUAAUAAAGUAUAAGUUCAUGGGUAGAUGACACAGCGAUUAGAAAAUAGACUACUCCUCAUAUAUGUAGGUGAUGUCAGAUUAGCUAGAGAAUGGAUUCUAAGUUAUCUACUAACUACUAAGUCAUAAUCUACUCUAGUUAUCUACAAGAUCAUAUAUAGCAUAAAAGACUCUUCAUUCAUGUAUAAGGAACAUUGAUAAAGUAAAUCAGAGCAUCGCAUGACUUACUCCACAAUACCGGUUCUGCCUGUCCUAUCAACGGAGGGUGGACUAUAUAAGAAUCAACGAAGCUGUCACUAUCGCGAACUACCACACGACCCGGCCAAUAGGAUACAUUUGCAGAUAAAUAACAUCUAAGCACCACGCUCACAUGUGAUCUAUCACCUAACUCCCUCGCGUCAAGAGCUAAGCGCUUUGCAAACUUAUACAUAAACUCAUUAUCAAUUAGAACUAUAUCAAAUAUAGAACUAGAGCAAACUAAGAACAUAAUAAUUAGAGACAUAAUGCAAUUAGAACAAAGAAUUAGAGAAAGAUAUGAAUAAUACCAAUCUUUAUUACCGAAGAUCCGAAUCCAGAGCGUAGUGCUCUACUUCUCUAAUUGCUAUCUAAUCAAACCUCUAAACUUGAAGGAUUAGGGAGUAGCUAAUUCUAAUUCUCUGUGGGAGAGAAGCUCUAAACCCUAACUUUGAUGGCUACCACUGAAUAAUGAUUUCUUCUCUUCUCCUCCCUCCAGGGGGGGUUUGGCCUUGGUUUUAUAGUCCCCUCAAGUGAACGUGAGCCAUUGGAUCAAACCGACAUAGAUUGUAUGGUUUAGAUUGAUCCUUUAGGUCGGUGGAGCGUAGUCCUGAAGCAGAGUCCCGAUUGGGUUCCAACCCUGGGCGGGCGCCCAAGGGGGGUGGGCGGCCGCCCUGCCCCCGAGCCCGAUCGUGCUCUCGUUCGUUCCCAUGGCUUCUGGAUUCUUCUAGAUUGAGGAAAAUUGCGCGGCACGUAAUUAUCUCGUUGUAAACAUGACAUGUGGGCCUUCUCUCCAUAUUCUCUAAUAACCCCCUGCAGAAAUAGAUAAACACCAAAGCUCGUGGAAUUCUGUCAGAUAAAACCCUAAUUCUAGAUGUUUGUUUCAUAUUGAUCCUUUUUCAUGUUUAUUUGAUUAUUAAUUUUAGUACUUAAGGACCGUCAACAGUCAUCACUAAUUAAUUGACCUUUUAGUUAUCUAUUUCACAAGCUACUUUUUUAUUAUUACCUAGGACUACAUUGGAGGAACUGAUGGAACAUAUGCCCUAGCUAGAGUGCCUAAGCGGAUGCAAGCUUACUUUAGAGGUAGGAAGCACACCAUCACAUAGAAUGUACUAGUAGUAGUGGACUUUGAUUUGAGGUUACACUUAUGUGCUAGCUGGUUGGGAAGGGUCUGCACAUGAUGCCCUUAUUUUGACUGAUGCCAUAGAGAGACAUGAUGGCUUUAGAGUCCCUCCUGAUGUGAACCCGUUAGGGUUUUUGCCUGAUCUUUUGAUGAGAGGUGUGGGAUAACUUGAUUGGUGAAUGGAGAUAAUGUUCACGGCCUGACUACAGCCUUCCAAGAUCACACCUUAGCUACCAAUACACACCCCAAAUGGCUGUCAUGAUCUCGUGGAGCAGGACACCCGCCCAUUAGGGCACUCAUCCUACAAGUAAUCGAAGAACCAGCAAGAACAAGUAGAACAAGUACUAAACUACUAGAUGUGAAUGAAGGUUUCAAUCUCAAUAUGUAAUAAAGUAGGGUUCUAAAGAUAAGAUGACGGGUGACUAAUCUAGCACGCAUGCUUACAAGUAGAAAAAGCUAAACUUAAUCUAGACAAAACCCAAACUAUUCAUGGUGGCUCUAGAGGCAAAUAAGUAGAGGGGAGGACGACCAGAGGGGUGCUAGAGUCGUCCUCCAUCCCUAGGACAUGUCCCUAAUGGACUCAACUUGAUACAUAGGCCAUUGGCCCAAAAUAGGGUGAUGCAGCACCAUAAGCAGGAAAUGCUUUGACAAUAAAAUAAGGACUGCACCCAAAUCAGAAGAGAUAUGAACAUGUGGUUGGACCCAUUGGAAAGUAGACUAUACAUAAGCUUUCCAUCAAGUAUAAGAACGUCCCAAUUGACAUCCAUAUGAAGCCGUGGUGCCAGACAAGUUGGGGUUGUUCUGCAGUCCAAAUCUAACUCCUAAAACAUGUUAGGUUUGGACUCUUGCUUUUCAUGCUCUAGGAACAACGUGGUAGCCUAAUGGAGGACAUUAUGGAAACUUGGAUUGAUCCUCAAUCACCUUUGUUAAGGUACCAUGCUUCCCACAUGCAAUCAGCUCUUGUGGAGUUGAUGUUGUCUCACAUUCUGAAUGCAGACAAACCUUCCCUUGUUGAUCCUCUCCAUCAUUCCUAAGCAAGACCAAAGUGCACGUGUCUCUAUUGUCUAAAUAUGAUGGACGAGAGUUUAAGAAUGAACUUACUUGAUGGUUGAAUUGAUGGGCACAGACAUGAGUAAGAGGGCCAAGUGGUAUCGGUGGUGGUGUAGGUGUGAAUGUAUAGAUGGUGUUGAUGUCCUCAUCACCUCCACGUAAAAUCCAAACCAUAUGUAGGCAUUGUUAGCCAUCUUCCAUAAUAUUAAAUCUAAACCAUAGCCCUGUCUUGACCUUUCUAAGAAUGAGGAGCUCUUUGGAAUGAGGAACUCCACAUGACAGUGCUAGAUGAGGAGCACCUUAAUGGCCACACUAAGGUUAGACAACCCCUAGUUCAAAGCACCUCCUUAUCAACAUAUGCUUACCUGUUUCUAAUAGUUCAAUGUCUUCACUAUAUAGGAUCACCCUAAUGAUGCUAAGUUCCUGAACACUCCAAUUGAGAAUUAUGUUCAGAUGGUGGCUAUUUUUUGUGGUAGUCAGGCCACUCGGAGAUAUGCUAUGGGUUCCAGUGAACCAUUGGGUACUUACUUGGGUCAAAUUGAUGUAGACAAUGGUGGAGAGGAUUCUAACUUGAGCAAGAUAGAAGUAUAGUCAGGUAAGGCAGUUGACGUUAAACCUAAAAGCUCAAAGGGAGCUGAGGAAAGGAGAGGGUUGGGAAGAGAAGGAAGUUGUCACAAGAGGGAGUUGAUCUUAUGAGUGGCAUGGUGAUGGUUGUGCAGUCUGUUGGGGAAUCUCUCAAGGCUCCACAGCACAAUGAGGUGCAUCAGGACCUAUAUGAAUGUGUCAUGGGUUGCCCUAAUUACGCACAAGAGGCGAUCAUGUUUGCUCUAGUGUACUUGCUCAAGAACAAGGCAGAGGGACUAUGCUUUGUUCAGAUGUCUAAGGCCCACAAGAUCCUCUAGCUUAGGACCUACCUAAGCACUGCCUACUUUGAGUAGAAGCAGAUGUAGUGAUCUCUCCAAUUUUGCAUAUAGCCAUGUUAACUAACCUAUGUUCCAUCUAAAUCUUUUGGGUACAAGCACUAACCAUUCAUUUGAGGUGCUAGGACUGGUUCUGUAUGUAGCCUGACAUUGGUUGCUGGUAUUUUUGUAUAGCAUAGGAGACAUGGUGAUGGAUGUGAGGCUUGUGUGGUGUGGACAAAAACACCUGGGAUGUGGUGUACUACUCACCACUUAUGAUACUGGGAAGGUACAAUGUGGUGUAGACAUUAACACAUGCUUAUGCUUUCUUUAUUAUGUUGGCUUCAAACAUCUCACAUGCUAUUAAGUAUACUAUAUGUUGGUGUUUCUAUUUGGCCUAUGAUGAAAUUUACACUAAUAUGAGGUGGCUCCUUUCUUUAUGCUCAUUUGUCUCACUAUUUUGUCAUGUCAUUCAUCAGAUCUGCAGGAAUCAUCCGCUGUUUAGCAACAUUUGGGUCAUACUCAAGUUGAUGGCAAACAGUGCAUGUUUGUUGAUGGUAGAUAAGUAUCAAUUUUAACCAUCAACUAAACACGAAAAAGGACCUAAAUUAAAUACCAUCUAGAUAUAGGGUUAUACUAAUAGAAUUCUAUGAGAUUUGGGGAAUGUCUAUUUCUAUAGGGUGUUAGCUGAAAAUAACCAAGGAAGGCCCACAUGGCAUGUUUACAUAGAGAUAAAUGGGAUCCGGGCAAUUUUUUUGUAAUCUAGAUGGUUUGAGAAGGCACUAGACCAAACGGGAGCCUGAAUCAGCUCGGUCAAUCAAGCUUCGCCUCGUGGAUCCUGCCUCCACUGCCUUUGAGGAUGAAUAAUAAUUGUCCAUUUAGAUUUGAUCUGAGGGUUGUGGUACAUCCUAAGGGGCUAUAUAAGCAGGGCCCUGUUGACACUUGCUAACACCACUUGAAUACUAGGUUGUCAUCCCCAGCAUGACACUAGAGUGUACUAUGGUAUUUAUACGCACACAGAUAAUCCGCAAGCGCACGGAUACCGUUGAAGCUUUUACCCGGUUAAAGGUUUUAUCGUAUCCACAGGGAAACGGGAGAACUAACUAUGCUCUAACUUAACCAAGAUAAAUAGAUAAGUGUAAAUAGGAAAGAUGGUAGAAUUGAAUAAGAACAAUAUUAAAGGUAAGAUAACAGUGAGUGAUAAUAUGGGAAUAGAGAAUAGAGCAAUUCUAGUAUAUGGGCGAUGGUAGCAGAAUAGAGAGAAUAACUAUGGUUUCUCUACUUCAAAGGGGUAUGUCUAUGUCUGGGACGAACCACGUGAUAAGAGUACACCACAAAGGAUGCUUAUCCUUAGGCCGAUAAACCCUACCCGUCCUGAGAACGAGAGGUGGAAUACAGAGGACCAACGUAACUGUCACCUACGCGGCCUACCACACGAUCCAGCUAGACAGGGGAUAUCCACAAGUAAUCUAGGUCUAAGCACCUCGCUUACACCUAUACUACAACUCUAACCUAGAGCGUCCUAUAGAUUAGAAUACUCAAAAGAGUUGUGAACCAGAACAUAAAUAAUUAGUAAUUGCAUAAUGAAUUAGAAGUAGAUUACCAGAGUCAUCCCAUGAGCAAGCUUGAUUAGAGCUUGAUCAUGACGAAGUACAACCGGAGGAAGAACCGACAGGCCGGCCUCUCCUCUAAUCCUUCUUCGCUCUCCAUCUUGCUACUAUCUAGAUCUACUCUAGUUUAGAGAAGAGAGGAGAGCUCUCAUCUCUAAACCCUAGCUUUUGCUCUGUCUAUGAAUAAUGAAUAAUGAUCAAGGGGUGCCUCCUCUAGGGGCCAGGGGGUCUGGUUAUAUAGUCUUUUCAGAUGAAUAUGGGCCGUCGGAUCAAACCGACAUUGAUCGUGUGGUUUUCCUUGAAGUAUUAGGUCGGUGGAGCAUGAUCCGCGAAGUUGAAGCUGAUUGGUUACUGUAGCUGGGCGGGCACCCAAGGGACUUGGGCGGGCGCCCUGCCCUCGGGCCCGAUCGGCCUCCCGUUCGUUCCCGUGGCUUCUGGAGUCUUCUAGAUGGUAGAAAAUUGCGCGGCACGUUAAUAUCUCUAUGUAAACCCGACGUGUGGGCCUUUCUUUCAUAUUUCCUGAUAACCCCCUGCAGAAAUAGACAAACACCAAAACUCAUGGAAUUAUGUCAGAUAAAACCCUAAGUCUAGAUGUUGAUUUCAUCUGGAUCCUUUUCUUUGUUUAUUUGAUAAUUAAAUUUGAUACUUAAGGACUGUCAACAAACUCCCCCAAGCUUACCUCUUGCUCGUCCCUGAGCAAGGAUAGACUCAGCAAUGGAUCAGAAGUUGUUGCAAUAUCUUAAAAAUUUGACGGUACACAUGCUUUUAAAUAAGAUCUCAUCUCUGAGUUAGAGUAAACUGUCAAGAACUAAAACUUACUUACUUUACCUUUCACCAUGGGACUUGUAACCGUCACUUCUGUCUUGAGUAGUUAAAAGAUAGAACAGUCUAGCCAAGUGCCAUGUCUCUUAUUCUUGAUCAGCUAUAGCUCUGGAGUUUUUGCAGAUUUUCAAAUAAAACUUAGAGAUUCCUUGUAUGACUCUCUAAAUCUCUCUUUUGUGGUAUUUCUGGAUCUUUACGAAGGCAGUGAUGGUAUAUGCCUUCUCUCAAGAUAUAUGGUAUUUGUGGUAUAAGGCAUAGUGACAUUGUCUUCUCUCUCACCCUACUCUAAUAAGUCUUUAAUAUCUGGAGCUCAUAGGUGGGAGACAGCUAAUACAUACUUACAAGAAAUUUAUUGCAUAGUCAAACCAUGGAUCCAGAGAAACAAGUCAAUAAGUCAAAUCAAGAUGUGCAUGUGUGGCGAAUGAAUGGUGUAUGGUGAUGAUGGUGAUAACAAUGGUGGAAGUCUAAUUCUACUUUUGCUCUUUUAAGGGGAUACAUACCUUCCUUGCUUUUUGAAACUUUAUGAGGAGAAUGAGAUGCUCUUCUUUUUCUUUCCUCUCAGGUGGGUAUCCUAUACCCCUAAUUCUACUGUCGGACACUUGUCCAUUUUUACCUCUCAUCUCACUUUUUCUUUCUUUCGAGGUUCCGGGCACUUGCCCCUUUUUAUUUCCUCGUUUAUUAUUUUUUUUCUCUCCUCUUUUUUUUAGAGCACUCGUCUCAUGAGAUAAUAUAGCAAGUGGUAGUAACAAGAUAACUUGAGCAUUUAUUUCACAAGGGAAAACAGAAAUAUUUUUGGCUAUUCUCUCCCGAAUUAGGAGUAGAAUAUUUUUAGGUGGUUCUGGAGAUGGACAUAGAUGGAUAUAUGUGGAUGGUACUUCCGGAGUAGAAGUAGCAUAUAUGAGUGAACGUGCAAGUGAAUCUUGAUUUAACCACAUGACAAGCUCCUAAGGGUCUACACAGCUUGACCACACUCAAUGCUCAUAAGCAGUAAAAAGUAAAUAUAUGGUUCAUAGUCUAAUAAGCAUGUAUACAUGGCUGUGGUAGGAAUUUAAACUCUCAUCAUACAGGAACUCAUCAUGCAAUAUUUUAAAGAUUUUUUCAAAGAUAAAAUUCUCCAGAAUUCUAGCAUCUUUAAGAACAGAUAAACAGCAGCUCAACCUUCCCAUAUCAUAUCCGUUAACAACUUAGAUUUCAGAUCAAGUUUUCAUCCCACAAGUUUAGAUCUAGAGCAAGCUUUCAAUUAUAACAGUUAUGUCUAAACUUGAGAGAGAACUUCAAAUUUAUAAAUUAGGCAGAGCAACUAUUCAUCAUAUCCAUGCUAGAGUUUUAUUAUUAAGAUUCAGAUUAGCAUAGCCACAUUAUUUAUUUAUUAAACACACUAAGC
Molecule: long non-coding RNA, 30949 nt
Filed under: Sorghum bicolor (sorghum)
Lineage: Eukaryota; Viridiplantae; Streptophyta; Magnoliopsida; Poales; Poaceae
Description: long non-coding RNA (SBIC_LNC002513)
Rfam family: Plant small nucleolar RNA R71 (bases 15201-15307)
Source: RNAcentral